This 439-nucleotide ribosomal RNA is filed under the name uncultured bacterium. RNAcentral's name for it is "partial 16S ribosomal RNA". It matches the Rfam family "Bacterial small subunit ribosomal RNA", at positions 339 to 795 of the family's 1533-position model. The record is from RNAcentral.
CUACGGGGCGCACCAGUGAGGAAUAUUGCACAAUGGGGGGAACCCUGAUGCAGCAACGCCGCGUGGAGGAUGACGCAUUUCGGUGUGUAAACCCCUUUUAUAUGUCAAGAAAAUGACGGUAGCAUAUGAAUAAGCACCGGCUAACUCCGUGCCAGCAGCCGCGGUAAUACGGAGGGUGCAAGCGUUACUCGGAAUCACUGGGCGUAAAGGACGCGUAGGCGGGCUUGUAAGUCAGGUGUGAAAUCCUACAGCUUAACUGUAGAACUGCACUUGAAACUACGAGCCUAGAGUAUGGGAGGGGCAGAUGGAAUUAGUGGUGUAGGGGUAAAAUCCGUAGAUAUCACUAGGAAUACCUAAAGCGAAGGCGAUCUGCUGGAACAUAACUGACGCUAAGGCGUGAAAGCGUGGGGAGCAAACAGGAUUAGAUACCCUUGUAGUC